GAUGAAGAACGUAGCGAAAUGCGAUACGUAAUGUGAAUUGCAGAAUUCAGUGAAUCAUCGAAUCUUUGAACGCAUAUUGCGCUCUUUGGUAUUCCGAAGAGCAUGCUUGUUUGAGUAUCAGUAAACACCUCAACCUCUUCUUGAUUUUUCAAAAGGAGGGUGGACUUGAGCUAUCCCAACAACCUUUACCGGUCGGCGGGCGGCUUGAAAUGCAGGUGCAGCUGGACUUUUAUCUGAGCUAAAAGCAUAUCUAUUUAGUCCUCGUCAAACAGGAUUAUUACUUUUGCUGCAGCUAACAUAAAGGAUAAUUGGCCUCUUUGCUGACUGAUGCAGGAUUUUACGACACUUUAUGUGUUGUUCAACUCGAUCUCAAAUCAAGUAAGACUACCCGCUGAACUUAAGCAUAUCAAUAAGCGGAGGA
Molecule: unclassified non-coding RNA, 421 nt
Filed under: soil metagenome
Description: partial contains 5.8S ribosomal RNA, internal transcribed spacer 2, and large subunit ribosomal RNA
Rfam family: 5.8S ribosomal RNA (bases 1-120)
Source: RNAcentral